GCCAGAGUGGCGAAAUUGGUAGACGCAGCGGAUUCAAAAUCCGCCGGUGGCAACACUGUGCCGGUUCAAGUCCGGCCUCUGGUA
RNAcentral lists this transfer RNA (84 nucleotides) under Paraferrimonas sedimenticola. It matches the Rfam family "tRNA". Rfam says of the family: Transfer RNA (tRNA) molecules are approximately 80 nucleotides in length. Their secondary structure includes four short double-helical elements and three loops (D, anti-codon, and T loops). Lineage: Bacteria; Pseudomonadati; Pseudomonadota; Gammaproteobacteria; Alteromonadales; Ferrimonadaceae. RNAcentral also lists the same sequence under 1 other name. The record is from Rfam by way of RNAcentral.